GUUAACAUCGAUUUUCUUUAUAAAACCAAUGUUGGGUUAUAGAUAAAUUAAAACCCAGAAGGUUCUCCCCUCGCACGCUAUCUCAGUCUCAGAAACAAAAGUAUCUUUCUCCUUCACCGCGAAGACCUGUCACUGUGGUCUCCUCCACACCAUCGUCGUAGCUGGGGUUCGUGAUCGCCGUCGGGGUUCGUGACCACUGCGGUCUGUUGGAAUUUGACUUCAACAUUCAACAUUAACACUAACACUGCAGUUUCUGUCAGAUUUAGUUGCAAGGCGUAGGGAGUACCUCUACCUUGGUGGUUUGCUUUCUUCUGGGCUGUCCAUUCAUCAAUUGCACUCUUCAAGUUUGAGGUAAUUGGCAAUGCUGUUCUAUUCUUUUAGUGUGACCGGUAAGCUAUAUUAUUAAUAGAAACAUCAUGUAUUAGAUAUAUUCUAUUCUGGAUAAUAAGCAAGUAAAUCCUAAUGUUGAAUGAUCCCUUGGUCCAAAUGACUACAUAAAUCAAUAUGAAUUAGAGCAAUAUACUACUGACAUAGUACAUAAACAAGUCAUAUCAAAGAUUUGGGCAAGUAUGCGAGCGAGGAAUUCUGAUAUGUAUGGAUUCCUCGAGCCACAGUCCAUUUAGAGAUCUGGGCAAUCACAAUUUGAAUUGGAAAGUUACAUCAAGAGUUGGAUGCAGAGUUCAAAACGCGGUGUCUACCUUGGAGUCUACCUGAAUGGCUAACACUGACAAAUGGUCGUCAACAGUGCUUCGAAAGGACUUGAUGAUACUCUACAACCUAAAUCCAAGGCUGCUGCUAGGUGGAUUAUUGUUAAGUGUAAUAGACAAAAAGGAAGCAUUGAGUGUGGCUAUUACGUCAUGCACUAGAUGUCCAUGAUAAUCUCAGGAACUUUCAGGAAUAAUUGGGAAAUGUAUUUUAAUGAUGUUAGACCAUUGGAAGCAGAGAGAUUCAAGGCGCUUCGCAUCCAGUGGGCA
Glycine soja is the source of this 974-nucleotide long non-coding RNA. RefSeq lists it as uncharacterized. The record is from RefSeq and is a predicted model, not a curated record. The transcript has 5 exons. Lineage: Eukaryota; Viridiplantae; Streptophyta; Magnoliopsida; Fabales; Fabaceae.